RNAcentral lists this long non-coding RNA (1284 nucleotides) under Rosa chinensis. RNAcentral's name for it is "sRNA RchiOBHm_Chr5g0025781". Lineage: Eukaryota; Viridiplantae; Streptophyta; Magnoliopsida; Rosales; Rosaceae. The record is from RNAcentral.
GACAUGAAAACUCUCUCCCCCCUUUCUCCUUUCUCCCUUCUCUUUUACCAGCAACUAUGGUCUUACGUAUAUGUUCAUUUGCUCCGAUUAAAACCCUAGCUUUCUCUUUGCCGCAGUCCCCUUUUUCUGUGUGUGGCGCCUUUCUAUUAGGUCCGAAACCCUAAUCUCUGAUCGCUCUCUCUCUCUCUCUCUCUUAAUCUCUCUCUCUCUCUCUCUCUCUCUCUCUAUGGUUAUUGUUUUCUUCUGCUCCAUAAUUUUGUGAGUGUUACUCCACAAUCGCUUGAUUUCCUGGAUCAGAGUUUCAAAUCCAUGUUAUUUUUCGACCUUUGAGGUUGGCUUAGGGUGGAGUGGCGGAUCUGUUGUAGUGUUCUCUGACGACGACAACGGUUUGGAACUACGAGGCAUCGAAGGCGUUCGAUGGGGCAGGGGAGAGGCCCUGAGCCUAGAGCAUUGGUGCUCGCAGAUAAUCAACCAGAUGGAAAAACUGAUUGGAGAAGUUGAGAAGAUUUGCUGGCCUCAAGGAUACCCAUUUUUUCACGGCAGUCAGUGGUGAAUAACUUCCUCACAUUCAACACUUCAAACAUAAAUUUGCAUGCAUUGGAUGUAUAGGAUUCGAAAGCACAAGUUAGUGCAAUUCAUUUGAUAAUUGAGGCUCUCCAGAGGAUGCAUUUAUUUGGUGUUGAGAACAGAGAUUUUUAACUCACAAUGCCACAGGGAAGCCAGACAAGUUGGUUUACAUUGCCACCUAUGAUAUUCUUUAGAGAUUUCAAAACCUCGGCGUAAUACUCUGAAAAUUGAUGACAAUAUGGCCUUUCUUGAUUACAGAAACAAUACAAGGUUCAAAAGGAUGAUCUGCUUAAUUUUUCGUGUCAGAUCAGGAGAACGCCAAUUGAGGAACUUUGCCUUCAGUCUAUGAUAGGUCACUGCUCAGGUGCUUUUGGGGGAUUUGGAAGCUAAUGCUAGAGUGUAAUCCAUACAAACAGGCUGGCUCCAUCAUUCCCCAAACCAAUUUUCUUGGAGAAUAUCACUUGCAGUCUUGACUAUGAUCUAUGAAUUGCAGAUGUGAUCUGUGUUUAUGUGGCUUGUUUAUGUAGUCAUCCAUGGAGGAGAAAUGGAAGUUGCAGAUAUCAUGCCUAGAAUUAAGGCUGUUAAUUUUUUUUCUUUCACAAAAGUGAUUUGAUAACAAUUAUACAGUUUGUAUAUUAAUUUUUUUUUUAAAUUUGAAAUAUUGCAGUCACCAUUGUUAGAUAGUGUGUUUUAUGAUGAUGGGGCCCACAGUUUGAA